AGCAGCCGCGGUAAUUCCAGCUCCAAUAGCGUAUAUUAAAGUUGUUGCAGUUAAAAAGCUCGUAGUUGAACUUCGGGGUCUACCCAUUGGUCAGGCUUAAUUGUCUGCACUGGUGAGAUGGAUCUCUACCUUCUGAGGAACUUUCAUGCCAUUUAUUUGGUGUGAUGGGAAAUCAGGACUGUUACUUUGAAAAAUUAGAGUGUUUAAAGCAGACUAUCGUCUGAAUACAUUAGCAUGGAAUAAUGAAAUAGGACGGACUGAUUCUAUUUCGUUGGUUUCUAGGACCACCGUAAUGAUUAAUAGGGAUAGUUGGGGGCAUUAGUAUUCAAUUGUCAGAGGUGAAAUUCUUGGAUUUAUUGAAGACUAACUACUGCGAAAGCAUUUGCCAAGGAUGUUUUCAUUAAUCAAGAACGAAAGUUAGGGGAUCGAAGACGAUCAGAUACCGUCGUAGUCUUAACCAUAAACUAUGCCGACUAGGAAUCAGACGAUGUAAUUUUUUAAUGACUUCG
This 509-nucleotide ribosomal RNA is filed under the name uncultured Diversispora. RNAcentral's name for it is "SSU rRNA". It matches the Rfam family "Eukaryotic small subunit ribosomal RNA", at positions 569 to 1078 of the family's 1831-position model. Lineage: Eukaryota; Fungi; Glomeromycota; Glomeromycetes; Diversisporales; Diversisporaceae. The record is from RNAcentral.